Molecule: ribosomal RNA, 603 nt
Filed under: Oscheius sp. IR
Lineage: Eukaryota; Metazoa; Nematoda; Chromadorea; Rhabditida; Rhabditidae
Description: partial large subunit ribosomal RNA
Source: RNAcentral
GCCGCUGCGAACUGUAGCGUAUAGGUGCGAUCUUCUAGUUGUGCUGCUAGUCCGAAGUCCCUUUGAUAGGGGCCACAGYCCUAARAGGGUGCGAGACCUGUACGGACGGCGGCGCAUCUAGUAUCUUCGUUCCUUGGAGUCGGGUUGCUUGAAAGUGCAGCCUAAAGUUGGUGAUAAACUUCAUCAAAGGCUAAAUAUAGAUGCGAAUUCGAUAGCAAACAAGUACCGUGAGGGAAAGUUGCAAAGAACUUUGAAGAGAGAGUUCAAGAGAACGUGAAAUCCUAGCGGUUGAAGCGGAGAGAGUUGACGUAGCUCGGCGGCUAAGCUUACUGUUGCUUCUUCGGAGGCUUCGGUUUGUGAUGUCCGCUUAUAGCUGCGCUGGUAGCGUUGUUCGAGCUUUCUGACCUGGUUAGUGUUGCCCACUUCGGKGGUGUCUUGCUACCGGCGAGGUCUGCCGUAUUAACGUUUAACUUGCCUUACGGUGAGUACCAGUGUGAAGGUCAGCCACCUUUCCGACCCGUCUUGAAACACGGACCGAGGAGUGUAACUUGUACGCGAGUCARAGGGUGGAAAACCCUACGGCGCAAUGAAAGUAAAGGUCGG